Xenopus tropicalis (tropical clawed frog) is the source of this 84-nucleotide non-coding RNA. The record is from Rfam. NCBI's taxonomy places the organism in Eukaryota, Metazoa, Chordata, Amphibia, Anura, Pipidae.
UCUGGCUGAGGUAGUAGUUUGUGUAGUUAGGGGGCAGUGGUGUUUGCCCAUGGAGAUAACUAGACAAACUACUGCCUUGCCAGC